This 494-nucleotide ribosomal RNA is filed under the name uncultured bacterium. Its description in RNAcentral is "partial 16S ribosomal RNA". It matches the Rfam family "Bacterial small subunit ribosomal RNA", at positions 28 to 507 of the family's 1533-position model. The record is from RNAcentral.
GACGAACGCUGGCGGCGUGCUUAACACAUGCAAGUCGAACGGAAAGGCCUGCUUUCCCUUGUGGUUUGCGGGUACUCGAGUGGCGAACGGGUGAGUAACACGUGAGUGAUCUGCCCCCAACUUGGGUAUAAGCCUGGGAAACUGGGUCUAAUUCCCGAUAGGACUGCAGGGUGGUUCCUGUGGUGGACAACGAAUUUCUAGUGGUUGGGGAUGAGCUCGCGGCCUAUCAGCUUGUUGGUGGGGCAAUGGCCUACCAAGGCGGCGACGGGUAGCCGGCCUGAGAGGGUGGACGGCCACAUUGGGACUGAGUUACGGCCCAGACGCCUACGGGAGGCAGCAGUGGGGAAUAUUGCACAAUGGGCGGGAGCCUGAUGCAGCGACGCCGCGUGGAGGAUGACGGCCUUCGGGUGGUAAACUCCUUGCGACCGCGAGGAAGCCACCUGGUUGGAAGGGUGGUGACGGUAGUGGUAGAAGAAGCACCGGCUAACUACGUG